GGGCCAGUAGCCUAGUCUGGACAGGGCGACAGCCUCCUAAGCUGUAGGUCGGGGGUUCAAAUCCCCCCUGGCCCG
RNAcentral lists this transfer RNA (75 nucleotides) under Microcaldota archaeon. RNAcentral's name for it is "Candidatus Micrarchaeota archaeon tRNA-Arg". It matches the Rfam family "tRNA". Rfam says of the family: Transfer RNA (tRNA) molecules are approximately 80 nucleotides in length. Lineage: Archaea; Nanobdellati; Microcaldota. The record is from RNAcentral.